This 253-nucleotide ribosomal RNA is filed under the name uncultured bacterium. Its description in RNAcentral is "partial 16S ribosomal RNA". It matches the Rfam family "Bacterial small subunit ribosomal RNA", at positions 524 to 776 of the family's 1533-position model. The record is from RNAcentral.
UACGGAGGGUGCAAGCGUUAUCCGGAUUCACUGGGUUUAAAGGGUGUGUAGGCGGCGCGCUAAGUCGGGUGUGAAAUUUCGGAGCUUAACUCCGAAACUGCAUUCGAUACUGGCGUGCUUGAGGACUGGAGAGGAGACUGGAAUUCAUGGUGUAGCAGUGAAAUGCGUAGAGAUCAUGAGGAAGACCAGUGGCGAAGGCGGGUCUCUGGACAGUUCCUGACACUGAGACACGAAGGCCAGGGGAGCAAACGGG